UCCCUGGUGGCUCAGAGGUUAAAGCAUCUGCCUGGAGUGCGGGAGAGCCGGGUUCGAUCCCUGGGUUGGGAA
Molecule: transfer RNA, 72 nt
Filed under: Capra hircus (goat)
Lineage: Eukaryota; Metazoa; Chordata; Mammalia; Artiodactyla; Bovidae
Also listed under: 1 other name
Rfam family: tRNA
About the family: Transfer RNA (tRNA) molecules are approximately 80 nucleotides in length.
Source: Rfam by way of RNAcentral